GACGAACGCUGGCGGCGUGCUUAACACAUGCAAGUCGAACGGAAAGGCCCUGCUUUUGUUGGGUUCUCGAGUGGCGAACGGGUGAGUAACACGUGAGUAACCUGCCCUUGACUUUGGGAUAACUUCAGGAAACUGGGGCUAAUACCGGAUAGGAUCUCCUGCUCCAUGGUGGGGGCUGGAAAGUUUCGGCGGUUGGGGAUGGACUCGCGGCUUAUCAGCUUGUUGGUGGGGUAGUGGCGUACCAAGGCUUUGACGGGUAGCCGGCCUGAGAGGGUGACCGGGCACAGUGGGACUGAGGUACGGCCCAGACUGCUACGGGAGGCAGGAGUGGGGAAUAUUGCACAACGGGGGGAAGCCUGGGGCAGAAAAGCCGGGUGCGGGAUGAAGGGCUUUGGGGUGGAAACCGAUUUCGCCUGUGACGAAGCGGGAGUGACGGGAAUGGGUAAAGAAGCACCGGCUAACUACGUG
RNAcentral lists this ribosomal RNA (468 nucleotides) under uncultured bacterium. RNAcentral describes it as "partial 16S ribosomal RNA". It matches the Rfam family "Bacterial small subunit ribosomal RNA", at positions 28 to 507 of the family's 1533-position model. The record is from RNAcentral.